GUUUAAUAAGAAUUUCAGCUUUGGGU
RNAcentral lists this non-coding RNA (26 nucleotides) under Cricetulus griseus (Chinese hamster). The record is from RNAcentral. Lineage: Eukaryota; Metazoa; Chordata; Mammalia; Rodentia; Cricetidae.